This 777-nucleotide ribosomal RNA is filed under the name Triticum aestivum (bread wheat). RNAcentral describes it as "partial small subunit ribosomal RNA". Lineage: Eukaryota; Viridiplantae; Streptophyta; Magnoliopsida; Poales; Poaceae. The record is from RNAcentral.
AUUGCAUCGGCACUUGGUACCUUGCAGGCAACCCUUGAGCCAUGGAGUUUGAAGGAAUUUGGGUGUUUGGCGCGUACUGUCAGACAACUUCAACAACGACUGAAUCGUGUUCGGUCUCAGACUAUAGGCACUAGGCCUUCGGAUGAGGAGAAAAGCAUUGUAAAGAAACUGAAAGAGGCCUUGCUUCAAGAGGAGAUUUGGACUCGACAGUGUUCAAGAGUUCCGUGGCUCCGAGAGGGUGAUCGUAACACAUCAUAUUUCCAAGCGCAAGCAGCUCAACGCCAACGUAUGAAUAAGAUCUCAGAUCUUCGCCGAGCGGAUGGCACGAUUUGCGCUAGUGGAGAUGAGGACAAGGUGGAGGUGCAGAACUUCUACCAGCGACUCUAUGAAUCACAGGGUUUUGCGGAUCCUCAGCUACUAUUAUCACAUAUGCCAGUUAAAGUGACACAAGCGAUGAACAUAGAAGUUUCCAAACCCUAUACCCCGGAGGAAGUCAAAGUGGCACUAUUUCAGAUGGCUCCUUCGAAGGCACCCGGUGUUGAUGGGUUUACUGCAGGUUUUUAUCAGCGUCAUUGGGAUCUACUUGGUAAUGAUGUAACCGAGGCAGUACUUGAUUUUCUCAAUGGAGGGGAGCUGCCAGCGGGACUGAAUGACACGUCUAUAACUCUGAUCCCAAAGGUUAGACACCCCCAAUCGAUAUCACAGUACCGUCCUAUUGCACUGUGCCCAGUUUUGUAUAAAAUUGCUGCUAAGGCAAUCACCAAUCGUUUGAGAUGC